Molecule: ribosomal RNA, 778 nt
Filed under: Cynegetis impunctata
Lineage: Eukaryota; Metazoa; Arthropoda; Insecta; Coleoptera; Coccinellidae
Description: partial 16S ribosomal RNA
Rfam family: Bacterial large subunit ribosomal RNA (bases 1-575)
Source: RNAcentral
CUCUUUUUGAGUUUAAUUUAAAGUUGGGCCUGCCCACUGAAAUUUGAAGGGCCGCAGUAUUUUGACUGUGCAAAGGUAGCAUAAUCAUUAGUUUUUUAAUUGAAAGCUUGUAUGAAUGGUUUGAUGAGAAAAUUUCUGUCUCAAUUUUAAUAUUUAGAAUUUUAUUUUUAAGUUAAAAAGCUUAAAUUUUUUUUAAAGACGAGAAGACCCUAUAGAGUUUAACUUAAAUUAAUGUUUUAAAUUUUAGAAUUUACAAUUUAAAAUUUUACUUAAGUUUUGUUGGGGUGACAGAAAAAUUAAAUUAACUUUUUUUUUAUUUUUACAUUAAUAUAUGAAUUUUUGAUCCAUUAUUAUGAUUAUAAGAUUAAAUUACCUUAGGGAUAACAGCGUAAUCUUUUUUGAAAGUUCUUAUUGAAAAAAGGGGUUGCGACCUCGAUGUUGGAUUAAAAUUAAUUUUUGGUGUAGAAGCUAAAAAAUUAGGUCUGUUCGACCUUUAAAAUUUUACAUGAUCUGAGUUUAAACCGGUGUGAGCCAGGUUGGUUUCUAUCUUAAAUAUAAAUAAAUAUCUUAGUACGAAAGGAUCAGGUAUUAAAUUUAAAAUUAAAAUUUUGAAUGAAAAUUUUAUUUUGGCAGAAUAGUGCAAAGGAUUUAGAAUCUUUUUAUGUAAGAAUUUACAAAUAAAAAUUGAUUUAAUUUUGGUUAUAAUUAAUUUUUUUAUUUUAUUUUUAGGAGUAUUAGUAGGAGUAGCAUUUUUAACUUUAUUAGAGCGAAAGUUAUU